CACGACCAAGACUCUAAAAAACAGAGAGAAAAGAAAACCAAAAACCAUUUCUUGGCUGGUUUGAAGAAAUUCUAAGGAGAUCCAAGUGAAAUCAAAGCCAAAGAAGUGGAUUAAGCUUAGUUCUAGCCUUUUUAUGAUAUUUCUUGGUGGUUUCCAAGUGGUUUGAGGUUUAGAAAAGCUAGAAGAGAUUGUUUUCGCCGAAAAGUUGCUCGGAUAAGCACAUCAACACCUAAGACACCACUUGUUACACGGUGAAUAAUAUUUUGGACAGAAGGUAAGUAAAGUACUCAACUGCA
Molecule: long non-coding RNA, 296 nt
Organism: Humulus lupulus (European hop)
Lineage: Eukaryota; Viridiplantae; Streptophyta; Magnoliopsida; Rosales; Cannabaceae
Exons: 3
Source: RefSeq, a predicted model, not a curated record